UAGGUGUGGCAAGCAGGG
Molecule: unclassified non-coding RNA, 18 nt
Filed under: Mus musculus (house mouse)
Lineage: Eukaryota; Metazoa; Chordata; Mammalia; Rodentia; Muridae
Description: oocyte_clustered_small_RNA6793
Source: RNAcentral